This is a non-coding RNA of Notechis scutatus (mainland tiger snake), 306 nucleotides long. Lineage: Eukaryota; Metazoa; Chordata; Lepidosauria; Squamata; Elapidae. The record is from RefSeq and is a predicted model, not a curated record.
UUUGUUUUUCAGGAAAAAGAAAAAUAACACAUCAGUAUUGCAGUUACUGAACAGAUAAAUCAGUUUCAACAAAAUGGAGACACAACAGAUGAGAAAGGAAAAAACUGGAUUCACAUGCUUCAGGAAAAGGAUGAACAGGUAAAAUCAUUUAAACACACAGUAAAUGCAAGGAUGAAACUUUUCUUGUAAAUGAACUUAAAACAUUCACUAAUAACCUUGGUUUUUUCUUAAAAGCACAGAGAGGAAAGAAAAUUGAACUCUGUUCCUCAUCCAGUCUAGUUGGCCAGACCAGACUGGGAGAAGACA